AUGCACGCUGGCGGCGUGCCUAAUCCAUGCCGGUCGAGCGAACAGACGAGGAGCUUGCUCCUCUGACGUUAGCGGCGGACGGGUGAGUAACACGUGGAUAACCUACCUAUAAGACUGGGAUAACUUCGGGAAACCGGAGCUAAUACCGGAUAAUAUAUUGAACCGCAUGGUUCAAUAGUGAAAGACGGUUUUGCUGUCACUUAUAGAUGGAUCCGCGCCGCAUUAGCUAGUUGGUAAGGUAACGGCUUACCAAGGCAACGAUGCGUAGCCGACCUGAGAGGGUGAUCGGCCACACUGGAACUGAGACACGGUCCAGACUCCUACGGGAGGCAGCAGUAGGGAAUCUUCCGCAAUGGGCAAAAGCCUGACGGAGCAACGCCGCGUGAGUGAUGAAGGUCUUCGGAUCGUAAAACUCUGUUAUUAGGGAAGAACAAAUGUGUAAGUAACUAUGCACGUCUUGACGGUACCUAAUCAGAAAGCCACGGCUAACUACGUG
Molecule: ribosomal RNA, 496 nt
Filed under: uncultured bacterium
Lineage: Bacteria
Description: partial 16S ribosomal RNA
Rfam family: Bacterial small subunit ribosomal RNA
Source: RNAcentral